RNAcentral lists this ribosomal RNA (253 nucleotides) under uncultured bacterium. RNAcentral describes it as "partial 16S ribosomal RNA". It matches the Rfam family "Archaeal small subunit ribosomal RNA", at positions 474 to 727 of the family's 1478-position model. The record is from RNAcentral.
UACCAGCACCCCGAGUGGUCGGGACGAUUAUUGGGCCUAAAGCAUCCGUAGCCGGUUUUACAAGUCCUCCGUUAAAUCCAGCUGCUUAACAGAUGGGCUGCGGAGGAUACUAUAAGACUAGGAGGCAGGAGAGGCAAGCGGUACUCAGUGGGUAGGGGUAAAAUCCGUUGAUCCAUUGAAGACCACCAGUGGCGAAGGCGGCUUGCCAGAAUGCGCUCGACGGUGAGGGAUGAAAGCGGGGGGAGCAAACCGG